CCCGUGGGUCCCUAUGGGUCGCUAUGGGGCUCCAGCCCCACUUCCGCCCCCCUCCCCUCCGCUCCGUCCCCGUUCAUUCCCCUCAGUCCUCCAAAACACCACAGAGCCGCACCUCCACCGCGCUUAGAGCGCCGAGCGGGAGAGAAACCGGAAACCGCUCUGCCCACAACCGCGCCUGUCGCGCAGCGUGACGUCACGUCCGGCCCGCGGCAGUGAGGACGUCCAAGAUGGCGCUUCCCGCGGCCCUCCUGCGCGCGGCGGCGCUGCGAUGCCGCCGGUUGCCGUUGGCCAACGUCGGGAGGCGCCACCUGGCGGCGGAGGCCUUCGUGCGGGAUCGGCCCCACGUCAACGUGGGAACCAUCGGUCACGUGGACCACGGCAAGACCACCCUGACCGCCGCCAUCACCAAAGGUGGGCGGGGCUUAGCGGAGGGGGGCGGGGCUUAAAGCAGGAAG
Phasianus colchicus (ring-necked pheasant) is the source of this 455-nucleotide non-coding RNA. NCBI's taxonomy places the organism in Eukaryota, Metazoa, Chordata, Aves, Galliformes, Phasianidae. The record is from RefSeq and is a predicted model, not a curated record.